This 86-nucleotide transfer RNA is filed under the name Stegodyphus mimosarum. It matches the Rfam family "tRNA". From Rfam's summary of the family: Transfer RNA (tRNA) molecules are approximately 80 nucleotides in length. Their secondary structure includes four short double-helical elements and three loops (D, anti-codon, and T loops). The record is from Rfam by way of RNAcentral. Lineage: Eukaryota; Metazoa; Arthropoda; Arachnida; Araneae; Eresidae.
GCCUUCGUGGUGUAAUGGCCAGCACACUGAGCCGGUAUUUCAGAGGACGGUAUUUCAGGUCCGUGGUUCGAUUCCCGGCGAAGGAA